This is a long non-coding RNA of Neofelis nebulosa (Clouded leopard), 2529 nucleotides long. RefSeq lists it as uncharacterized. The record is from RefSeq and is a predicted model, not a curated record. NCBI's taxonomy places the organism in Eukaryota, Metazoa, Chordata, Mammalia, Carnivora, Felidae. The transcript is spliced from 3 exons.
AAGGGCUCUCGUGUGAAAGCCCCAGGAUGACCCAAAGCUCUUCUACCUCCUUCUCUCUACAUCCCUAGCACGUAGAGGAGCCCUUGACAUGUAGUGGCCCCUUAAUAAGUAUUUUUUGAAUUAUUGAAUGCUAUGCCUUUCUUUCUUAUUGUACCAGAAAUCUGAGAGGACACAAGAGGCUAGACCUGCCAUCAUACCCCCUCAGGGAGCCUGAGACUGAGCCAACAGAGCACAAAGCAUGCGGCAGGCAGAGACACGUGAUUACAUCUGGGAGCCCUGAAUCUUGCCAUGCCUGAAGCCAGAGCUGCCCUUGGUCUUCUCACUUCCAUGAGCCAGAGAUAUGGAACAAAGAAUACAAGACUUAGCAGAGAGAAACAUCUACUCCUUGGAGGCACUCAACCAUGAGAACAUUUUUGAAAGAUAGCGAUGGGCACUGAACGAGGGAGGAAAUGCCUGAGCUGAGCAGAUUGAAGUUCCCUGGAACAAUCAUCUGACUGACCUGUCAUGGGUCACGAGACCAUCUUUUGACCAAGAAAUGAUGCAACACCUGGUUUGAUGGUCGCAUCACAACUAUGUCCAAUUAGGGGCCUAGUCCCCUUUCCUUGUUGAGAUGAAAACUCAGGUACUAUUACUGCAGAAAAAGGGAAGAAUGGAUCCUGAGAAGACAAAAACCACAGAGGCCCACAAUGGCAGCCUUCAAAAUUUUUGAGCAUGAUCCAUGUUGAGAAAUAUAUUUCACCAGCACGUGAGCAUAUUCACACAUGACUGAAAUGAAGUUUUCAUAUAACAGUAGGUACCCUUACAACGAGUAGCAUACUUUACUAUGGCACAUUCGUUUCCUUUCAUUUUUUAAAAAUGGAUGUUGCGGGGCACCGAGGUGGUUCAGUUGGCUGAAAGUCCGACUCUUGAUUUCAGAUCAGAUCAUGAUCUCACGGUUCAUGGGACCGGGCCCCAUAUCAGGCUCUGUGCUGACAGCAUGGAGUGUGCUUGGGGUUCUCUCUCUCCCUCUCUGCCCCUCCCCCACUCACAGACUCACUCUCUCUCUCUCCCUCUCUUUCUCAAAAUCAGUGAAUAAAAAUGGACGUUGUAACUCCCUCAUGGGUCACAACCUACAGAUUGUGAAGCAUUGUACUUACCGUGCUUUCCUUCCCCUCUCCAUCCAUGAAGACCCCAGAAGGGAAGUGAGACAAGGAAGGAAGGAAAGCCAGCAAAGGGUUUAUGAUGAGGGGCUUGUCACUGUGGCAUGUGGGGCUCAGUCACACAGGAGACUUUCUAAGAAACUGUGCAGAACAUGCCUGAGGACUGUUCCACCAAAGGGCAGGGAAGCUGGGGUGUUCAUCUGCUGACUGACAUUCCUCCAUAUGAAGGUGGCACCCAAGCCAUUAAUUUCCCAAUACUUCCAGCCCUCCAUCAAGUGAGGGCCAAGCUCCCAAGGCCGGAGAACACCCCCAAGCAGAGAGGUGCAGGAAGCUUCAGACAGUAUGGGAAUUAUCUUUAGAAGACCUCUGGGUGGAUCAAGAGUAUACUUUGACAGUGUCCUGCAAGAUGUAACUGGGAGGAAGAAGGACUAACUCGGAAAGCCAUUUUCAGCCAUAAACACCUGCUUCCCUUCCCGAGCCACACGUCACAGUCAGGCACAUCCUGCCCCGAUCCCCUGAUUUCUAAAUUCACCAUGUUUAUCCUGGCCUGGCUGCCCAGUUCCCUGCUUCAGCACUGCUGAAUGCAGACAGGAAAUCUGCCCAUCUGGUUCGCCAGCCCUACCUGGACCCACUGAUUCUCAGUCACUGUCCCAGAGAAUGUCUCGAUUUCAGCCAAUCAUCUCUGCCACAACAUUUCAGUAAAUCUUCACCCACCCUUCCCCUCCCCUUAGUGCCAGGAGAGAAUAUGUCCCUGCUCCUGUCAAGAUGCCAGUGAAAACAAAUAUCCUGGGCUCAGGGAGAGAUCCAGCACACAAACCUUGAUUAAUCAUCUGCCAUUUGUCAGAUUAAAACACAGAAGACAAACUGACUUUUGGAGUCGGGUCCAAUGGGAUGGGAAUCGAAGCAGCACUGGGUUCGGAGAGCAAAGUCUUAAUCAGCAAUGUCUGAGGGCAGUGGGUUUUCACUCAGGCUGCACCAGUCACCUGAGGAGCUUUUAGAGCAUACUGAUUCCCACUGGGAGAUGGGGUGGAUCCCGGGGAUCCGUAAGUGUUUUCAAUCCCCCAGAUUGUAAUACACAGGAAGUACAAAUGGGACAAGAAGGAGGAAAUAAUUUUCCUUGGGGUGGUUUUCUUUUUGAGCUAACCUUUGUAUCUCAUCGAAUUAUCUCAAUAAUGCUACAGUGGCCUCCCUUAUCUGCGAGGGAUAUGUUCCAAGAUGCUUGGCAGAUGCCUGAAACCACAGUUAGUACCAAAUUCUAUAUAUACUAUGUUUUUUCUGUGCCUACAUAGCCAUGAUAAAAUUCAAUUCAUAAAUUAGGCACCGUAAGAGAUUAAGAACAAUAAUCUAAUAGAACAACUAUAGCAAUAUACUGUAAUAAAAGUUAUAUGAA